GAAUAAAACAUAUUUGAGGUGAAAAUAACAAGGCCAUUUCUUCUUCUUCUUUCCGUGAGUUGAGAAAGAAAAUAGAAACCUUUGAGCUUAGGGCAUUCGGCAAAAGAAGGCUUCAAAUAAGACUCAAGAGCAUAGAGGGGCAAUUUUGGAUAAAGAGAAAGUAAACGAAUAGCCGUGGAUAUCUAGUCGUCGACCACUUCCGAGGUUGUGGAUUCUGACUACCAGUUCGGGGAUCAUCAGCACUUCGUCACACUAUCUACCAUUACGGCAACUAUGUAAUUAGACUUAGCUUAUGGCAUGUAUAGGAUA
Gossypium arboreum is the source of this 309-nucleotide long non-coding RNA. RefSeq lists it as uncharacterized. The record is from RefSeq and is a predicted model, not a curated record. NCBI's taxonomy places the organism in Eukaryota, Viridiplantae, Streptophyta, Magnoliopsida, Malvales, Malvaceae. The transcript has 3 exons.